This 465-nucleotide ribosomal RNA is filed under the name Vreelandella stevensii. RNAcentral describes it as "partial 16S ribosomal RNA". It matches the Rfam family "Bacterial small subunit ribosomal RNA", at positions 338 to 795 of the family's 1533-position model. The record is from RNAcentral. Lineage: Bacteria; Pseudomonadati; Pseudomonadota; Gammaproteobacteria; Oceanospirillales; Halomonadaceae.
CCUACGGGAGGCAGCAGUGGGGAAUAUUGGACAAUGGGGGCAACCCUGAUCCAGCCAUGCCGCGUGUGUGAAGAAGGCCCUCGGGUUGUAAAGCACUUUCAGCGAGGAAGAACGCCUGGUGGUUAAUACCCAUCAGGAAAGACAUCACUCACAGAAGAAGCACCGGCUAACUCCGUGCCAGCAGCCGCGGUAAUACGGAGGGUGCGAGCGUUAAUCGGAAUUACUGGGCGUAAAGCGCGCGUAGGUGGCUUGAUAAGCCGGUUGUGAAAGCCCCGGGCUCAACCUGGGAACGGCAUCCGGAACUGUCAAGCUAGAGUGCAGGAGAGGAAGGUAGAAUUCCCGGUGUAGCGGUGAAAUGCGUAGAGAUCGGGAGGAAUACCAGUGGCGAAGGCGGCCUUCUGGACUGACACUGACGCUGAGGUGCGAAAGCGUGGGUAGCAAACAGGAUUAGAUACCCCUGUAGUC